UGGGAAUAUUGCACAAUGGGGGAAACCCUGAUGCAGCCAUGCCGCGUGUGUGAAGAAGGCCUUCGGGUUGUAAAGCACUUUCAGUAGGGAGGAAAGGGUGAGUCUUAAUACGGCUCAUCUGUGACGUUACCUACAGAAGAAGGACCGGCUAACUCCGUGCCAGCAGCCGCGGUAAUACGGAGGGUCCGAGCGUUAAUCGGAAUUACUGGGCGUAAAGCGUGCGCAGGCGGUUUGUUAAGCGAGAUGUGAAAGCCCUGGGCUCAACCUAGGAAUAGCAUUUCGAACUGGCGAACUAGAGUCUUGUAGAGGGGGGUAGAAUUCCAGGUGUAGCGGUGAAAUGCGUAGAGAUCUGGAGGAAUACCGGUGGCGAAGGCGGCCCCCUGGACAAAGACUGACGCUCAUGCACGAAAGCGUGGGGAGCAAACAGGAUUAGAUACCCUGGUAGUCCACGCCGUAAACGAUGUCUACUCGGAGUUUGGUGUCUUGAACACUGGGCUCUCAAGCUAACGCAUUAAGUAGACCGCCUGGGGAGUACGGCCGCAAGGUU
Molecule: ribosomal RNA, 547 nt
Filed under: bacterium LO333
Lineage: Bacteria
Description: bacterial SSU rRNA
Rfam family: Bacterial small subunit ribosomal RNA
Source: RNAcentral